AGCAGCUGUGCGCACUCCACUCACAACAUUUGCCAAGCUACAACAUACGACGCUGCUCCACAAAAGUGACGGAUUAUGUGUCUAACCUUCGUCACUAGAGUAUAGUUGAAGUUGGGGAAGAAUAUUUUGUCGUGGUUGUGUAGCUACACACUGAGACAAGGAAGUGGCUGUGCGCACAGAUAGCCAUGUUAGCCAGCCGAGGUGGACUAAUGGUGGGAGGAUUGGCUCACCUUGCUGCCUUUAAUCUGGAUAUUCACUCGCUGAACUUCGUAAUGGCUGUCUCGUUGUACUGGUGUGAGAAUGGUGUCUGCCAGAAGGUCCCUGGGAUGUCCAGCAGCUUGUUCAUGUUGGCAGGCAGGAGUUUUAACCUUGGAACAAGACACGUCAGGUGAUGAGUGCCAAGGGUUGAGGUGCAGCCAGACGCGGGGUGGUUGGGUGAGCAGGCAUCGCGAGUCCCGAGACCCCGACACACACACUGCAUGCGUGAAGGAAAGCAGUUAAUAGCUCUACAUUUUGGAAGGUUUCAGUCAUGAAGUUUGUGGUGGAGCAUGUGAGCAAGGAUUGAGGACAGCUAGGCAGGCUGAUAGUAUCCACACUACAGGGAGGCAGUGCACCACUUCUCGCGCAGGAUGUGCUACACCGGUGGCAUGGCGUCGAGGGAAGUGCCUCUUUGUAUCCCUGCCCAGCACUUUUAUUGAACACAUGAAGGUGCUCCAGAGUUUCAAGAAGGGAGUGGCACACACACUGCUGCACUCCAAGCUUUUGGAGGUCCAGCGGCAUACUGCACACUGCUUUCAGUGGCAAGGAUGGAGGAUGCUUCAUCAUUCACAGCAUCAUUGGUUCAUCCUUUCUUUUUUGUGGAGAGUAGUGCACACAGCUUUAACCGAAGGAUUAUGUCAUCAUUCAUAUUCAUAGAUUUCAUGACGUAACAUUGUGUUGACCUUUGUGCAUCAAAUCACUUCAUUACAUGUAAGUGUAUAUUUAGCUACAAGGAGUAACGGUUUAUGAAAUAUGUAAUAUAUUAAACAUAAUUUAUUAUAAGAGAUCUUGCUUUAUGAAGAUUUGUUUAAAGGUCUUUGUUUAUUAGCAUGAUCUAGUUGUGUCAGUCUUAAGAGUCAAGAUUGUACAGACAUGAACCAUUGUCCAUUGCAUUUCUUGCAGAUGGAAUUUUAGUCAUCACUGCAAGGUGUGUCUGUGUGUGUGUGUUUACCUAGUUGUAUUGUACAGGGUUCCAGCAGGGCUCAUAGUGUCCUAUCUCCAUGUGUGAGUGUGUGUAUCUUUGUGGGCAAGUGUGCCAGUCAUUCCUUGAUGUCAAAGUCUUUCAUUUAGGGAAAAAAUAUUGUGUGUAAUUAGGUUUAUAUAUUUUUUUGAGUGAGAAUAUUUAGACUAAUUAAAUUGUAAGUUUCUCAACUUUCUAGAGCUUUGCUGUUACUGUUCAGUGUAAGAUUUCAGGGGCCGCAUUCUACAAACCAUCAUAGCUAAUGACGUGAUCAUAGCGAGACAAAAUAGUGCAUUUUAGACACAAGUCCCUUUUUGACAGGCUCUAACCUUGUGACUCGUCAUAAGUGCCAAGACAGGGUUCACCCUGUUGCAGUGCUGCCAACCACCGUCUUAAAACUCUUGUCAACAUUGUGGGAACUUGGCUGUAUGUAUCAUAGCAUGAUCCCCAACCAUUUUUAUUAUUAAUUAAUGAUAAAUAUCCAUAAAGAUGACUGAAUAAUGUCCUUCUUUGAUGCAGUAAUUUACCAUUAUAGAUAACUGCUGAGAGGGGUACAAUCAGUUUUCCAAAAUCUCAAACAAACCUUACCCUGCAUGGCUUGCUUGUGUCAUGUGUUGGGCUGUCGGGUAUAAUCUUCUGUUUGUCAUGUUUCUUUUGUUUAGAUACACAGUCUAACUAUUCUUAAUGUAGUAAUAUGAUGUCAAAAUAAUGUAAAUUAUUGAAAAUUAUAUCAAGAAGCUAUUUCUUUUUGUACUUAUAUAAAAUUGACAUGUAAUGAGCCUAAAAACCAACAGUGGAGUGACGGUCAGGCAAUCGGUGAGAGCUGAGGCUGACUGUAGAAUGCGGCCCCAGAAUGAUGGUCUGUGUUUUGUAUAUUUAUGGUGACAAUAUAGUGUUGCAAGGGACAACAUGCUGUUUGAGAGCAAUGCCAUUGUGAAAUGCUUAAAAAAUAAUUUUACAGAGUUGAUAGUUCCUCCUAGACUUUUGCAUGCUCUCAAAACACUACUCAUGUUCUUAUUGUUUCAUUUAUUUUAUUGUUUUAUUUAUAUAUUUAAUUUUUUUUUUUUAGACAAAUGUAUAGAUGGCAAUGAUAGGUGGAGUGAGGUAGACCUGUUCACACAGGGACUGCUGCCAUGUAUGUGCAGGCUGUUGGUCCGUAUUGCAACUUAUCUCAUUUUUGUUUCUCUAAUACUUUUGAAAUAAUUUUUUAAGAUGAAAAUAUUCCCAGAGUAAUUAAUGUAAUACUUGAAAAAAUUGUCCCAGGUUGAAAAUUGCAUGAAUUAUUCUAAGUUUAAAAAUGUAAAAACUGUACAAAUUAUGUUCCACUAAGAUUUUCAAAGUUGAAAAUUGUAAAAUGUUACAAAUUCUAAUUUUCUAAGUUGAAAAUUUCGGUAGAGUUUUUUGGAUGUUUACACAAAAAUUGAAAAAAUGAUAGGUGGGAUGAAGUUUACAAAUUUAAAGAAAUUCUGCUAUUGUGUGAAAAUUUUUGACAUUCUGCUAUUGUGAAUUUUGCUAUUGUGUGAAAAUAUUCUAAGUUGAAAAUUUUGGUAGAGUUUUCAGACUUGUUUUGUGUGUUGAUUGAAUAAAAGGAAAGGAAGGGAGA
This is a long non-coding RNA of Portunus trituberculatus (swimming crab), 2822 nucleotides long. RefSeq lists it as uncharacterized. The transcript has 6 exons. The record is from RefSeq and is a predicted model, not a curated record. Lineage: Eukaryota; Metazoa; Arthropoda; Malacostraca; Decapoda; Portunidae.